CCUACGGGCGGCAGCAGUGGGGAAUAUUGGACAAUGGAGGGAACCCUGAUCCAGCGACGCCGCGUGAGUGAAGAAGGAUUUCGGUAUGUAAAGCUCUAUCAGCAGGGAAGAAAGAAAUGACAGUACCUGACUAAGAAGCCCCGGCUAACUACGUGCCAGCAGCCGCGGUAAUACGGAGGGGGCAAGCGUUAUCCGGAUUUACUGGGUGUAAAGGGAGCGUAGGCGGCGAUGCAAGUCUGAAGUGAAAGGCGGGGGCUCAACCCCCGGACUGCUUUGGAAACUGUAUGGCUUGAGUGCAGGAGAGGUAAGUGGAAUUCCUAGUGUAGCGGUGAAAUGCGUAGAUAUUAGGAGGAACACCAGUGGCGAAGGCGGCUUACUGGACUGUAACUGACGUUGAGGCUCGAAAGCGUGGGGAGCAAACAGGAUUAGAUACCCGAGUAGUC
This 443-nucleotide ribosomal RNA is filed under the name uncultured bacterium. Its description in RNAcentral is "partial 16S ribosomal RNA". It matches the Rfam family "Bacterial small subunit ribosomal RNA", at positions 338 to 795 of the family's 1533-position model. The record is from RNAcentral.